CAGAUCCAUCCUUCAUUACCCAUAGAGGUUUUCAAAACUUCAUGUUUGGAUAAUCAGAGGUCCUUUAUAAAAACUGAAAAGUCACAAAACCAGGAAGACCCUACAAAUAUCUACACCAAAGAGGAAAAUAUAUCAGUGCAAACAGAAUAUUCAAUCAGCACCUCUUGCAUUCUUGCCCAAUCUCCAGAUGACCCCACAAGGAUCAGCUUGGGUUCCUCUGAUGAUAAAUUAGAGUCUGACUGGUGUGAGAUGAGAUCGAGCAUUGAAAAACUUUCUCAUUUAGCAAUAGCAACAACUAUGCCAAUAGAACCAUAUACAGAAUUGGAGAACACACAGAUAAAUAUGAGCAAUACUUUGGAGAGCUGCCAAAUUAAUGAAAAGAAGGAACAAAUGCUCAUGGGUUUUUCUACACAGACUUCAGAGAUGGAGAGCUCCAGUAUUAUUAAUUUUGAUGGAGAAUGUAACACAUCAGUGAUUAAAGAGAUAGAAGAAAUUCACAAAAGCCUGGAAGAGCAAGAAAAGGGAAAUGGAAAUCAAAUUAAGCAGAUGGAGAAGCAGAAACAAGACAAAGAGGAGAAAGAACAAGAACCAGAAGAACAAGAAGGUGCAGAAGAAAAACAUGAAAUGAAAGGAGGAAUAAAUAGCAUUGAAGAUGAGUUGAAAUAUAUAGACGAUGAAGAGGACUUGGAUGCAAUGGAAACUGAGAGAGAAAAGAAACAACAAGAAGAUGCACAUGAUCUGCUUUCUCAAGAUUCAGAGGAGCAGAAGCAGAUCAUUAGUACCGACACUGUUAAAUCAUUACCACAACAUCAUAUUGACUUAAAUGAAAUAGAAAUUCUAGGUGAGUACUCAGAAAAAGAGGACAUACACAUCAACCAUGGAUUAGAGAUCUGUGAGGAAACUGCUACAUCUUGGCAAGAAUCAUCUCAAAAGACUGAUAUUGAACUCAGUGGAAGUAUGCAAGCUAUGGAGAAUGAUUGGAACCUCAUUGACUUUAUUGAUAAAGAAGAGAAUGUGUGCUGUGAAAGUGUGAAACGGGAAUGGGAAACUAUUGAUGAUGUAAACAGUAUGCUGGAAAACAUGGAACGCCUGGCAAAAGACUCAGUGAACAGAGAUCUUGAAAACGUUGAAGACAAUACCUCAACAGAAUCGCAGAUAGAUGAUGAGAUGGAGCUGUACCUGAACAGUCUGAGGAAUUCACAACAGUCAGUAUUCAGAGAAGGCGCAAUGAGUGGAAGCUAUGGCAAAAGACCCUCCUUGAGCAGAGGAAGGCCAUUAGCUAUGCCUUCAAUCUCUGAGUCUAUGGACGAGGACCAGCCGAGUAGUUCCCUAGAGGAUUUAACAAAUAUUGAGUACAACAUGAAGCUGGAGAGAGCUACACUGCCCC
RNAcentral lists this long non-coding RNA (1387 nucleotides) under Sinocyclocheilus grahami. RNAcentral's name for it is "lncRNA (ENSSGRG00000048223.1)". The record is from RNAcentral. Lineage: Eukaryota; Metazoa; Chordata; Actinopteri; Cypriniformes; Cyprinidae.